Molecule: long non-coding RNA, 1193 nt
Organism: Myotis daubentonii (Daubenton's bat)
Lineage: Eukaryota; Metazoa; Chordata; Mammalia; Chiroptera; Vespertilionidae
Source: RefSeq, a predicted model, not a curated record
GACGGAGGACGGAGGACUGAGGCCAGAGGACGAACAGAGCCCUUCACGGGUUAAAACCAUGAAGUUGCGGAGGACCCCUCCCCAGGCCUAGAGAGACCCGGCCCCUCUAACCUAUCCCCUUUCCACUUCCAAUUUCCGGCAGGCGCGACUUCCGGUUCCGGCAAUGGGCUACAAAGCUUUGCGCCGGGGCUGGGGGCUCCCUUUCUCGGAGUCGCUUGUGGGGUGUCUGCUCCCGCGGUGAGCUGCCUCUGAAGCGGCAAAGGGGCCUGUGAGUCAUCCUUUUCCAGAGUUCCAGAAUGGAGACUGAAGGAGACCCAAAGGCACAAAAAGAUAGAGAAGUCCAGAAUGAUCAAAUAAUGUCACCUCCAAAUGAGAUGGUGGCUAAGGAGCCAGAAGAUGUCCUAACAGCGGCUCCCCAGGCCCAGGUUCCACAAGAGCCUUCUGGGCAUCCGCCAAAGAGCCUUGAAAACGUUUGUGUCAAAAAUGUUCAGACCGGGCCAGGAAGGAAUCCUGUCAAUCCUCUCGUCUUCAGGCAGAUGUUCAGAAAGUUCCGCUGUGAGGGUCCAUCUAGGCCCAGGGAAGUCUUCAGGCAUCUGCUAGCGCUUGCUAUGCAGUGGCUGAGACCCGACCUUCACACAAAGGAGCAGAUGAUAGAAAUGCUGGUGCAGGAGCAAUUCCAGAUCAUCCUGCGUGAUAUGCUCAGAGCUCGGCAGCAGAAGUGUCCGUCCAUUGUCAGAUACCCUGGCUGAGUCUCACUGCUUAUUUCUUGCUCAGCCUACAUCUGAGAUGUUUGGUUAAAGGUUCUCUUUGUAAGUUCUUAUUACAGUCAUGGGAAAUCUAAACCUCAAUUUCCUUUGAGUUUGCUUUUGACUAGUUGUAACAAAUUGAUCAAAACCCAUGUCUGGACCUGUUUUUGCCUGAGGCAGCUGUUUCCUGGGACUGAACUCCAGAGGGAGUUUCUCUGCCCUCUUGUUAGGACAAUCGGCCUGCUGUUUGUUUUGCUCUGCUGAAUGUCUUUUUGCACUUUGUGAUAUCCUUUAAUAUAUUGUUUUUAUGUAUCCAAAGAGGUAAUUAUUUUAACUUGCAGAAUUCUUGAUUCUUGCUGUUGUGGCAUGAGUGGGAAUUUCUGUAACCUCACCAGUAACUCACUUGGGAUGUCCUUGAAAUAUUAAAGUUUGUUUGGUUCUUAAAAA